GUGAAUCAUCGAAUCUUUGAACGCACAUUGCACUCCUUGGUAUUCCGAGGAGUAUGCCUGUUUCAGUAUCAUGAGCACUCUCACAACUAACCUUUGCUGGUUAAAUUGUGGAAUUGGGAUGCGCCAGUUGUUUAUUGAUUGGCCCUCCUAAAAUGUAGCUCUUGACUGUGGACUACUACAGUAGUUUGGUCCUAAUAGUUUUGGCACUUGUUCAAAUUCUUUGGCUACAUUUACUUUGGUUCCAUGCAGUCUUGAUAUACAGUAAAACUCUAAUACAACUUUGAUCUGAAAUCAGGUAGGGCUACCCGCUGAACUUAAGCAUAUCAAUUAAGCGGAGG
This 338-nucleotide ribosomal RNA is filed under the name uncultured fungus. RNAcentral's name for it is "eukaryotic LSU rRNA". The stretch from base 1 to 71 matches the Rfam family "5.8S ribosomal RNA", at positions 84 to 154 of the family's 154-position model. Lineage: Eukaryota; Fungi. The record is from RNAcentral.